GAUGAACGCUGGCGGCGUGCCUAAUACAUGCAAGUCGAGCGAACAGACGAGGAGCUUGCUCCUCUGACGUUAGCGGCGGACGGGGGAGUAACACGUGGAUAACCUACCUAUAAGACUGGGAUAACUUCGGGAAACCGGAGCUAAUACCGGAUAACAUGUUGAACCGCAUGGUUCAACAGUGAAAGACGGUCUUGCUGUCACUUAUAGAUGGAUCCGCGCCGCAUUAGCUAGUUGGUAAGGUAACGGCUUACCAAGGCAACGAUGCGUAGCCGACCUGAGAGGGUGAUCGGCCACACUGGAACUGAGACACGGUCCAGACUCCUACGGGAGGCAGCAGUAGGGAAUCUUCCGCAAUGGGCGAAAUCCUGACGGAGCAACGCCGCGUGAGUGAAGAAGGUCUUCGGAUCGUAAAACUCUGUUAUUAGGGAAGAACAAAUGUGUAAGUAACUAUGCACGUCUUGACGGUACCUAAUCAGAAAGCCACGGCUAACUACGUG
This 497-nucleotide ribosomal RNA is filed under the name uncultured bacterium. RNAcentral describes it as "partial 16S ribosomal RNA". It matches the Rfam family "Bacterial small subunit ribosomal RNA", at positions 28 to 507 of the family's 1533-position model. The record is from RNAcentral.